This is a long non-coding RNA of Megalobrama amblycephala (Wuchang bream), 1944 nucleotides long. RefSeq lists it as uncharacterized. The record is from RefSeq and is a predicted model, not a curated record. The transcript is spliced from 3 exons. NCBI's taxonomy places the organism in Eukaryota, Metazoa, Chordata, Actinopteri, Cypriniformes, Xenocyprididae.
UUGUUUUCAGAAUUUCUUAUCAAGUCAUUUUUGCAUACCCAUUGGCUGUUUGUUUGUUUGUUUUCAAAAUUUCUUAUCAAGUCAUCUUUGCAUACCCCUAUUGUUUGUUUGUUUGUUUGUUUGUUUUCAAAAAUUCUUACAGAGUCAUUUUACAUACCCUUUGGCUGUUUGUUUGUUUGUUUUGUUUGUUUGUUUGUUUGUUUGUUUUCAGAAUUUCUUACCAAGUCAUUUUUGCCUACCCUUUGGCUGUUUGUUUGUUUGUUUGUUUUGAGAAUUUGUUAUUAAGUCAUCUUUGCAUACCCCAUUGGCUAUUUGUUUGUUUUCAAAAUUUCUUACCAAGUCAUUUUUGCAUACCCCAUUGGCUAUUUGUUUGUUUGUUUUGUUUGUUUUCAAAAUUUCUUAUCAAGUCAUCUUUGCAUACCCCUAUUGUUUGUUAGUUUGUUUUCAAAAUGUCUUACCAAGUCAUUUUUCUAUACCCUUUGGCUGUUUGUUUGUUUGUUUGUUUGUUUUCAGAAUUUCUUGUUAAGUAAUUUUUGCAUACCCUUUGUUUGUUUGUUUGUUUGUUUGUUUGUUUGUUUGUUUGUUUGUUUGUUUGUUUGUUUUCAAAUUUUCUUACCAAGUCAUUUUUGCAAACCCCAUUGGCUGUUUGUUUGUUUGUUUCACAUUUUUAAAGAGAGUUUUCGACACUAAAAUGGCUUAAUAUUGCUGAAAAAUGAGCAUGCAUGUGUAUAUUUUAGUGGCUAGAUAUUUUUGUUGUUUUGUUUCUCUCUUCAGACGUUUUCUGCAGUUAAUCAGUUACCGGCAUUUGCCAAAGGGAACUUCCAGCUUUUUCAGGGCCGCAACAUGCAGGCAUUUUUGGGCCCCAUCGGUGUGUUCAGAAUGAAAAUAAACCGUGACAGUUGCACAAACCAGCUGCCAUGUGAUUCUUGGGGGGAUUUGUGAUGUGAAGCCAGUGUGUUUGUGAUAUCGGUGAGGUGUCGACCCUCUCAGCCAGGUUCACGGGAGCGUCCGGCGAGUCUCGCUGCUGUGGCCCAGUUUAAUCCUCAAAGAAGCCCUGUCUGGAAAAGCCUUCUCCAAAAGCCCAUGUGCUCCCAAAACUAGGUCUCAUUUACGAGACGUCUCUGAGACGCAGUGUGGCGGCAGCCACGUGCUGCUUCGGCAUCCUGCUCCUCAUUCACUGGAGGCACAUUUGGCUCACACAUGUUCUCCCUGAGGGCUCCACUGGACCUGGUGAAAAUAAAAGUGCCUCCUGUGGUGUGCAGCGCGGAAGACUAAACUUUUAAAAGUUUAUUAAAUCUUGAUCUGGUCAUAAGCAAACCGAGCGGCCUGCCACUAAUCACAGAGUGAUUCCCACCGGCUUCCUUGGUAAACACAGGCUUGUUGAAAUGAAUUAGAAACGUGACCUUCUCAUCAAUGGAAGCGGAAAGCCGUCCGUCUGAAGUCUAACAUUAGAUCUGUGAUGUGGAGUUCAUUACCGAGAGGCUUUAUAGGUGCAUAUUCUCUCUUUUGGAGGAUAAAUCAGGGCUUUAUCAUGUUACUGAAGUCCUGGGAUCACAUGCUGUUUUGGAGCGCAGCUACAUGUGCUAUCUAUGAAAGAUUUCCUCCAAGAUCCCCUGAACAUUACAGAAGAUUGCGCUCUUUUUUGAUGUUAAAAUACUUGUAUUCAUAGGCUGAUUUGCUCUCAAAACAUUGAUCUGUUUGCGUUUGAGCAUCAGUGACAGAAAGUGUUCGGCAAAGAAGUUGUUAUGAGUUUCAAUUUAUGUUAAUGUUUUCGACUUUUAGUUGCAACAAAAAUGUCCAACAGCAUGCUGCUUUCCAGGUCUCACCAUGACAAAGUCAAUGUAAAAGGAAUAAUUGGUCUCAAUUUGUUCCAGUUUCCACUUUGCCUUUGAGCGCUGGAUAUGAGUGUUCCUGUUUUACAGCCUUAAAUAAUAAACCUCCAUG